Molecule: long non-coding RNA, 1029 nt
Filed under: Volvox carteri
Lineage: Eukaryota; Viridiplantae; Chlorophyta; Chlorophyceae; Chlamydomonadales; Volvocaceae
Description: long non-coding RNA (VCAR_LNC003553)
Source: RNAcentral
AUUUGCACUCCCGGUUGCUUCCCAUCUGAUGGGUACUCCUCUGGCAAGGCAGUCAGACGCGUAUGGUCCCAGCCCCUCACCAAACGCUCUCUCAGUGCCGUUAUCAUUGCUCCUUCGGGUAGAGGCCUACCAGUCAACACGCUCCUUUACCCCCAUGACUUCUUGCGGUAUUCCGCUCCAACCGCUCGACCUCUGCCAGCGCAAAAGGGCCCCACGCCUGGCAACCAUAGAACAGAAUUGCUCAGACUUGGGUUGCAAAGCACCGCAUUCACACGUCGGGGGCAAACAGCUUCACGUGCUCAUGACACUAGGCCUACACGCUUAUCAAAUAAACCCACGUGCUCAUGACGCUAGACCACACGCUUAUGAACACUAGGCCUACACACUCAUCUCAUAAGCCCACGUGCUUUGUCAGGUAAGCCUACACACUGGCAGAGGUUAAGGCCUGACUUCUGCUCCCAGUCGACCCAGUCGACCCGGGUUCAAAUCCGCCUGCCGGCUCCUCGGGUGUGUGAGGAGUGAUGAAAUGGGAGGUGGCCCCCCAUCUUAUGGACGGUGUAGGACGUGAUAAUAUCAACUUGCGAGCUGACCAGGAACUAAGUUGAUGCGCCGUUGAUCCGCUAGAUUUGGUUGGAUGCUGGUGGUGAGUUGCCGAACCCAACGAAUACAUUCUGAAGUCGGAUGGGGUGACGGAUUAGGGUGCCCCUCUAGCAGGGGAGAGCAGGGACUGCCCCGGGAAAGGGGGCCGCUGGCGAAGUUAACCACCCUGUAACAACAUACACACUUCCUGAUAAAGCCUCCAACUUUAUGAAUGCUAUCCACCAUGCUUGCCGAUAAGCCUCCACACCCUACCGAAUAAGGCCUUUCCACUAUUUUUCACACCUCCGUGAAGCUGAUGGCAUGAAAUGACCUUCUUGCUAGGGUAGACUUUGACAUUCGUUUCACAAGACCCUCGACAACGUGGUAGAUGGUCUCCCUAUUUCCCUGUUAAUAAUGCGAAGACCUGCUAAUAUGGCCUCGACGCCGCUG